This 79-nucleotide ribosomal RNA is filed under the name Rhizobium leguminosarum. RNAcentral describes it as "partial 23S ribosomal RNA". It matches the Rfam family "Bacterial large subunit ribosomal RNA", at positions 2853 to 2925 of the family's 2925-position model. Lineage: Bacteria; Pseudomonadati; Pseudomonadota; Alphaproteobacteria; Hyphomicrobiales; Rhizobiaceae. The record is from RNAcentral. RNAcentral also lists the same sequence under 3 other names.
UGAUAGGCCGGGUGUGGAAGUGCGGCAACGCAUGAAGCUUACCGGUACUAAUAGCUCGAUCGGCUUGAUCGUUCUCAUU